CCUACGGGAGGCAGCAGUUGGGAAUCUUGCACAAUGGGGGAAACCCUGAUGCAGCGACGCCGCGUGGACGAUGAAGGCCUUAGGGUUGUAAAGUCCUUUUUUGGGGGAAAGACUUAGGACGGUACCCAAGAAUAAGCUCCGGCUAACUACGUGCCAGCAGCCGCGGUAAGACGUAGGGAGCAAGCGUUGUCCGGAUUUACUGGGCGUAAAGAGCGCGUAGGCGGCUCGUUAAAGUGUGAAGUGAAAUCUCCAGUGCUCAACACGGAAACUGCUUUACAUACUGGCGAGCUUGAGGAAAGCAGAGGCAACUGGAAUUCCUGGUGUAGCGGUGAAAUGCGUUGAUAUCAGGAGGAACACCCAUGGCGAAGGCAGGUUGCUGGGCUUUAUCUGACGCUGAGGCGCGAAAGCGUGGGUAGCAAACAGGAUUAGAUACCCUGGUAGUCCACGCCCUAAACGAUGGAUACUAGACGUAAGAGGUACUCGACCCCUCUUGUGUCGCAGCUACGACAUAAGUACUCCGUCCGUCGGGUACGGUACCGGUCCGGCCGACGGUUAGUAACGUUAAACGUUAAGUAAGUUAGUACGGACGUGAGACGUACGCCGACGGACGACCGACCGACGGGAGGUAGG
RNAcentral lists this ribosomal RNA (630 nucleotides) under uncultured bacterium. Its description in RNAcentral is "bacterial SSU rRNA". The stretch from base 1 to 522 matches the Rfam family "Bacterial small subunit ribosomal RNA", at positions 338 to 873 of the family's 1533-position model. The record is from RNAcentral.